UGGGGAAUAUUGCACAAUGGGCGCAAGCCUGAUGCAGCCAUGCCGCGUGUAUGAAGAAGGCCUUCGGGUUGUAAAGUACUUUCAGCGGGGAGGAAGGGAGUAAAGUUAAUACCUUUGCUCAUUGACGUUACCCGCAGAAGAAGCACCGGCUAACUCCGUGCUAGCAGCCGCGGUAAUACGGAGGGUGCAAGCGUUAAUCGGAAUUACUGGGCGUAAAGCGCACGCAGGCGGUUUGUUAAGUCAGAUGUGAAAUCCCCGGGCUCAACCUGGGAACUGCAUCUGAUACUGGCAAGCUUGAGUCUCGUAGAGGGGGGUAGAAUUCCAGGUGUAGCGAUGAAAUGCGUAGAGAUCUGGAGGAAUACCGGUGGCGAAGGCGGCCCCCUGGACGAAGACUGACGCUCAGGUGCGAAAGCGUGGGGAGCAAACAGG
Molecule: ribosomal RNA, 429 nt
Filed under: Chloroflexota bacterium
Lineage: Bacteria; Bacillati; Chloroflexota
Description: Chloroflexi bacterium partial 16S ribosomal RNA
Rfam family: Bacterial small subunit ribosomal RNA
Source: RNAcentral